AAAAGGCGGCGUAAGCUGUCGCUAAAGGAUGGACCCGCGGUGCAUUAGCUAGUUGGUAAGGUAACGGCUUACCAAGGCGACGAUGCAUAGCCGAGUUGAGAGACUGAUCGGCCACAUUGGGACUGAGACACGGCCCAAACUCCUACGGGAGGCAGCAGUAGGGAAUCUUCCACAAUGGGCGAAAGCCUGAUGGAGCAACGCCGCGUGAGUGAAGAAGGUUUUCGGAUCGUAAAGCUCUGUUGUUGGUGAAGAAGGAUAGAGGUAGUAACUGGCCCCUAUUUGACGGUAAUCAACCAGAAAGUCACGGCUAACUACGUGCCAGCAGCCGCGGUAAUACGUAGGUGGCAAGCGUUGUCCGGAUUUAUUGGGCGUAAAGCGAGCGCAGGCGGAAAGAUAAGUCUGAUGUGAAAGCCCCCGGCUUAACCGAGGAAUUGCAUCGGAAACUGUGUUUCUUGAGUGCAGAAGAGGAGAGUGGAACUCCAUGUGUAGCGGCGGAAUGCGUAGAUAUAUGGAAGAACACCAGUGGCGAAGGCGGCUCUCUGGUCUGUAACUGACGCUGAGGCUCGAAAGCAUGGGUAGCGAACAGGAUUAGAUACCCUGGUAGUCCAUGCCGUAAACGAUGAGUGCUAAGUGUUGGGAGGUUUCCGCCUCUCA
This 654-nucleotide ribosomal RNA is filed under the name uncultured bacterium. Its description in RNAcentral is "bacterial SSU rRNA". It matches the Rfam family "Bacterial small subunit ribosomal RNA", at positions 202 to 842 of the family's 1533-position model. The record is from RNAcentral.